UCACUCAUGUUUAACCUCAGAUCGUAUAAAUCUUUCGCCUUUUACUAAAGAUUUCCGUGGGGAGGAACAUAAUGAGUAUAAAGUAAUUUUUUGAUGCCCUGCUCUGAGCGGGGCU
RNAcentral lists this small nuclear RNA (115 nucleotides) under Carassius auratus (goldfish). RNAcentral describes it as "U5 spliceosomal RNA (ENSCARG00000016355.1)". It matches the Rfam family "U5 spliceosomal RNA". Rfam says of the family: U5 RNA is a component of both types of known spliceosome. The precise function of this molecule is unknown, though it is known that the 5' loop is required for splice site selection and p220 binding, and that both the 3' stem-loop and the Sm site are important for Sm protein binding and cap methylation. Lineage: Eukaryota; Metazoa; Chordata; Actinopteri; Cypriniformes; Cyprinidae. The record is from Rfam by way of RNAcentral.